RNAcentral lists this ribosomal RNA (274 nucleotides) under uncultured bacterium. RNAcentral describes it as "partial 16S ribosomal RNA". It matches the Rfam family "Bacterial small subunit ribosomal RNA", at positions 523 to 796 of the family's 1533-position model. The record is from RNAcentral.
AUACGGAGGAUCCGAGCGUUAUCCGGAUUUAUUAGGUUUAAAGGGUGCGCAGGCGGAACUGUAAGUCACCGGUGAAAUCCUACAGCUUAACUGUAGAACUGCCGGUGAUACUGCGAUUCUUGAGUAUAGUUGAGGUAGGCGGAAUGUGUAGUGUAGCGGUGAAAUGCAUAGAUAUUACACAGAACACCGAUUGCGAAGGCAGCUUACUAAACUAUUACUGACGCUCAUGCACGAAAGCGUGGGGAGCGAACAGGAUUAGAUACCCUUGUAGUCC